This 253-nucleotide ribosomal RNA is filed under the name uncultured bacterium. RNAcentral's name for it is "partial 16S ribosomal RNA". It matches the Rfam family "Bacterial small subunit ribosomal RNA", at positions 524 to 776 of the family's 1533-position model. The record is from RNAcentral.
UACGUAGGGGGCUAGCGUUGCUCGGAAUCACUGGGCGUAAAGCGCACGUAGGCGGAUUGUUAAGUCAGGGGUGAAAUCCUGGAGCUCAACUCCAGAACUGCCUUUGAUACUGGCGAUCUCGAGUCCGGGAGAGGUGAGUGGAACUGCGAGUGUAGAGGUGAAAUUCGUAGAUAUUCGCAAGAACACCAGUGGCGAAGGCGACUCACUGGCCCGGUACUGACGCUGAGGUGCGAAAGCGUGGGGAGCAAACAGG